Molecule: transfer RNA, 52 nt
Filed under: Hedychium sp. RHT56214
Lineage: Eukaryota; Viridiplantae; Streptophyta; Magnoliopsida; Zingiberales; Zingiberaceae
Description: partial tRNA-Phe
Source: RNAcentral
UCGGAUACACCACAAGGUAGAGCAGAGGACUGAAAAUCCUCGUGUCCAGGGU